RNAcentral lists this transfer RNA (71 nucleotides) under Mus musculus (house mouse). It matches the Rfam family "tRNA". Rfam says of the family: Transfer RNA (tRNA) molecules are approximately 80 nucleotides in length. The record is from Rfam by way of RNAcentral. Lineage: Eukaryota; Metazoa; Chordata; Mammalia; Rodentia; Muridae.
GGGAAAAUGGCUCAGUCUGUAAGAGCAUUUGUUAGACAAGCAGGAGGCCUGGGUUCAAUCCCCAGCACCCA